RNAcentral lists this ribosomal RNA (254 nucleotides) under uncultured bacterium. RNAcentral describes it as "partial 16S ribosomal RNA". It matches the Rfam family "Bacterial small subunit ribosomal RNA", at positions 524 to 776 of the family's 1533-position model. The record is from RNAcentral.
UACAGAGGUCUCAAGCGUUGUUCGGAUUCAUUGGGCGUAAAGGGUGUGUAGGUGGCGCGCUAAGUCGGGUGUGAAAUUUCGGAGCUUAACUCCGAAACUGCAUUCGAUACUGGCGUGCUUGAGGACUGGAGAGGAGACUGGAAUUUACGGUGUAGCAGUGAAAUGCGUAGAUAUCGUAAGGAAGACCAGUGGCGAAGGCGGGGUCUCUGGACAGUUCCUGACACUGAGACACGAAGGCCAGGGGAGCAAACGGG